Molecule: ribosomal RNA, 272 nt
Filed under: uncultured bacterium
Lineage: Bacteria
Description: partial small subunit ribosomal RNA
Rfam family: Bacterial small subunit ribosomal RNA
Source: RNAcentral
AGAAUCAACGCUGGCGGCGUGCCUCAGACAUGCAAGUCGAACGCGAAAGUCCCCUUCGGGGGCAAGUAGAGUGGCGCACGGGUGAGUAACACGUAGGUAAUCUACCUUUGGAUGGGGAAUAACAAUCGGAAACGAUUGCUAAUACCGCAUAAUGCAGCGGCACCUAAUGGUGACAGUUGUUAAAGCGGGGGAUCGAAAGACCUCGCGUCUAAAGAGGAGCCUGCGGCGGAUUAGCUAGUUGGUAAGGUAAUGGCUUACCAAGGCAACGAUCC